Molecule: unclassified non-coding RNA, 227 nt
Filed under: Hevea brasiliensis (rubber tree)
Lineage: Eukaryota; Viridiplantae; Streptophyta; Magnoliopsida; Malpighiales; Euphorbiaceae
Source: RNAcentral
GCGCGCGUUGAUGAGUUCGCCGCGCCUGCUUGUUCUGGAUGAACCAUCGCUUGGCCUAGCGCCACGCAUCGUCGACGAGAUCGCAGAACGUUUGGUUCAGCUAACGCGGGAAUCCGGCGUAACUGUACUUAUUGCUGAGCAAAAUUCUGCGCUCGGAUUGAANNNNGCUUACGUAUUGCAGCGCGGUCGCGUCGUACUUCACGGGUCGGCAGCUGAGUUGCGAUACA